Molecule: ribosomal RNA, 241 nt
Filed under: uncultured Actinomycetales bacterium
Lineage: Bacteria; Bacillati; Actinomycetota; Actinomycetes; Actinomycetales
Description: partial 16S ribosomal RNA
Rfam family: Bacterial small subunit ribosomal RNA
Source: RNAcentral
ACUCGAGUGGCGAACGGGUGAGUAACACGUGGGUGAUCUGCCCUGCACUUCGGGAUAAGCCUGGGAAACUGGAUCUAAUACCGGAUAGGAGCCAUUUUUAGUGUGAUGGUUGGAAAGUUUUUCGGUGUAGGAUGAGCUCGCGGCCUAUCAGCUUGUUGGUGGGGUAAUGGCCUACCAAGGCGGCGACGGGUAGCCGGCCUGAGAGGGUGUACGGCCACAUUGGGACUGAGAUACGGCCCAG